AUGCGAUAAGUAAUGUGAAUUGCAGAAUUCAGUGAAUCAUCGAAUCUUUGAACGCACAUUGCGCCCGCCAGUAUUCUGGCGGGCAUGCCUGUUCGAGCGUCAUUACAACCCUCCGGCCCCCGGGCCUGGCGUUGGGGAUCGGCGGAAGCCCCCUGCGGGCACAACGCCGUCCCCCAAAUACAGUGGCGGUCCCGCCGCAGCUUCCAUUGCGUAGUAGCUAACACCUCGCAACUGGAGAGCGGCGCGGCCACGCCGUAAAACACCCAACUUCUGAAUGUUGACCUCGAAUCAGGUAGGAAUACCCGCUGAACUUAAGC
This 317-nucleotide unclassified non-coding RNA is filed under the name plant metagenome. RNAcentral's name for it is "partial contains 5.8S ribosomal RNA, internal transcribed spacer 2, and large subunit ribosomal RNA". The stretch from base 1 to 102 matches the Rfam family "5.8S ribosomal RNA", at positions 53 to 154 of the family's 154-position model. The record is from RNAcentral.